This is a long non-coding RNA of Lagopus muta (rock ptarmigan), 217 nucleotides long. RefSeq lists it as uncharacterized. The transcript is spliced from 3 exons. The record is from RefSeq and is a predicted model, not a curated record. Lineage: Eukaryota; Metazoa; Chordata; Aves; Galliformes; Phasianidae.
CUCUGCUGGAGUUUUGUGGGUGAGCCCAGGAUAAGGCCAUCCACCUCCAGAAGGAAUCUUCUUCCACUGCAGUACCUCUGCCCUUUGAAUGGGCUUGACCUGAACAGUAGUCAGCAACAAAAGGUUAUUCUUUCUAAGAGAGGAAGACCUAGUAAUGGAAAAUGAGACAGAGAACGGAUUUUUAAGAAUCCAGUUUGUCUUCACCCUAGCAAUAAGU